AAAUGUCAUUCCAUGUGAAAAUCCCCUAAUGGGAUACACGCAAGAGGAUACAGAAAGAGUACAAUAAUUCCGUUCCAUUCCAUUCCAACUUUGAGCAACCGGUGACUAAUAUCAAGUUGGACCUAGUCCAUAAUCAAGAUCUGGAUAGGGACCUGCACUUGUUCAGGAUCUGACUCGGGAUCGAACCCUCACCAUGGGCUAUUACCCCAAGUCACCCCCAAGUCAUCCCUUGCUGUACAACCCUAACCCCGAAAUCCCACGUCCGCUACCUCAGUCUCGUCGGCAACCACCUCGUGUGUAAGCUACCACUAAUUGGCCACUAAUUUGUUCAAGUGGCACCAAGUUCCAGCCCGCGCGGUGAGAAUAGGCGACAGCGCGCGCACCCGUCCGCCAUCGUGCCGGACCUACGAGAACGAUACCUUACUGGAUAUCGGAUGGUACCUUGCUCUUAGGCAUUGUUCGUAGCAACCAAUGC
RNAcentral lists this long non-coding RNA (475 nucleotides) under Physcomitrium patens. RNAcentral's name for it is "long non-coding RNA (PPAT_LNC014139)". Lineage: Eukaryota; Viridiplantae; Streptophyta; Bryopsida; Funariales; Funariaceae. The record is from RNAcentral.